GAUGAACGCUGGCGGCGUGCCUAAUACAUGCAAGUCGAGCGAACAGACGAGGAGCUUGCUCCUCUGACGUUAGCGGCGGACGGGUGAGUAACACGUGGAUAACCUACCUAUAAGACUGGGAUAACUUCGGGAAACCGGAGCUAAUACCGGAUAAUAUAUUGAACCGCAUGGUUCAAUAGUGAAAGACGGUUUUGCUGUCACUUAUAGAUGGAUCCGCGCCGCAUUAGCUAGUUGGUAAGGUAACGGCUUACCAAGGCAACGAUGCGUAGCCGACCUGAGAGGGUGAUCGGACACACUGGAACUGAGACACGGUCCAGACUCCUACGGGAGGCAGCAGUAGGGAAUCUUCCGCAAUGGGCGAAAGCCUGACGGAGCAACGCCGCGUGAGUGACGAAGGUCUUCGGAUCGUAAAACUCUGUUAUUAGGGAAGAACAAAUGUGUAAGUAACUAUGCACGUCUUGACGGUACCUAAUCAGAAAGCCACGGCUAACUACGUG
RNAcentral lists this ribosomal RNA (497 nucleotides) under uncultured bacterium. Its description in RNAcentral is "partial 16S ribosomal RNA". It matches the Rfam family "Bacterial small subunit ribosomal RNA", at positions 28 to 507 of the family's 1533-position model. The record is from RNAcentral.